Molecule: ribosomal RNA, 488 nt
Filed under: uncultured bacterium
Lineage: Bacteria
Description: partial 16S ribosomal RNA
Rfam family: Bacterial small subunit ribosomal RNA
Source: RNAcentral
AUUGAACGCUGGCGGCAGGCCUAACACAUGCAAGUCGAACGGUAGCACAGAGAGCUUGCUCUCGGGUGACGAGUGGCGGACGGGUGAGUAAUGUCUGGGAAACUGCCCGAUGGAGGGGGAUAACUACUGGAAACGGUAGCUAAUACCGCAUAAUGUCGCAAGACCAAAGAGGGGGACCUUCGGGCCUCUUGCCAUCGGAUGUGCCCAGAUGGGAUUAGCUUGUUGGUGAGGUAAUGGCUCACCAAGGCGACGAUCCCUAGCUGGUCUGAGAGGAUGACCAGCCACACUGGAACUGAGACACGGUCCAGACUCCUACGGGAGGCAGCAGUGGGGAAUAUUGCACAAUGGGCGCAAGCAUGAUGCAGCCAUGCCGCGUGUGUGAAGAAGGCCUUCGGGUUGUAAAGGACUUUCAGCGGGGAGGAAGGCAAUGCGGUUAAUAACCGUGUUGAUUGACGUUACCCGCAGAAGAAGCACCGGCUAACUCCGUG